CCUACGGGUGGCAGCAGUGAGGAAUAUUGGUCAAUGGACGAGAGUCUGAACCAGCCAAGUAGCGUGAAGGAUGACUGCCCUAUGGGUUGUAAACUUCUUUUAUAUGGGAAUAAAAUGUUCCACGUGUGGGAUUUUGUAUGUACCAUAUGAAUAAGGAUCGGCUAACUCCGUGCCAGCAGCCGCGGUAAUACGGAGGAUCCGAGCGUUAUCCGGAUUUAUUGGGUUUAAAGGGAGCGUAGGUGGAUUGUUAAGUCAGUUGUGAAAGUUUGCGGCUCAACCGUAAAAUUGCAGUUGAAACUGGCAGUCUUGAGUACAGUAGAGGUGGGCGGAAUUCGUGGUGUAGCGGUGAAAUGCUUAGAUAUCACGAAGAACUCCGAUUGCGAAGGCAGUUCACUGGACUGCAACUGACACUGAGGCUCGAAAGUGUGGGUAUCAAACAUGAUUAGAUACCCGAGUAGUC
RNAcentral lists this ribosomal RNA (460 nucleotides) under uncultured bacterium. Its description in RNAcentral is "partial 16S ribosomal RNA". It matches the Rfam family "Bacterial small subunit ribosomal RNA", at positions 338 to 795 of the family's 1533-position model. The record is from RNAcentral.